This 95-nucleotide non-coding RNA is filed under the name Murimonas intestini. Its description in RNAcentral is "NiCo riboswitch". It matches the Rfam family "NiCo (Nickel/Cobalt) riboswitch aptamer". The record is from RNAcentral. Lineage: Bacteria; Bacillati; Bacillota; Clostridia; Lachnospirales; Lachnospiraceae.
ACAGUACAAACUGAGCAGGCGAUGCCCGGGAGGGCGUGGGGCCGGGCCGCCAGAUGGCGGCAGCAGAUGGACGAUAGACACAUCUGUGGGACAGU